GGAGGAGGAGGAGGAGGAGGAUGAGGAAAGGCUGCACAUGGGGUGGAGGAGAGAUUGAGAGUCUUCACAAUAAGCUUGAGGUAAAGACAGCCCCAGUAACUGUUUGGACAUAAAAAAAAACUCAGGGAUGGAUUCAAAACAUUCAAUUGUCCCAAUUAUAGAUUCAACAAACAACAGAGUGAAAUGACAUUUUCAUCAAAGAAUUGGGUAGACGCACAUGUAAACAUGAAAAGAUAUGUUUAAUUAAUAAAAAGAUGAAAUACAAUAUUAGAAUUAUGCAUUUGAUGCAAACAAUCUAUGUGUAUUUAUUGGAUUCUCCACUUCAGAUCUCAUAUUUUCUCUUUGGACGGGAUGAUAUUUACAAGGCCCAUCAUGUUCUGCACAGUUCUAUUUACCAUCAAAUUGAUCAAGCGGAGAUCGCCAACAAGCAACCACUGAAAGGUGGGUUUUUUUCGUCCUAGCUUGCCUGACAGGCAUAAACAUGUUGUUGGCUUAUUGUUACUUAUUUUAGUAGGAUGAUCAACUAACAACCUAAAAUUCAACAGAUUUAUGUCAAACCUACCAAGCCUCAUCCAAGUUCUCGCAUUAAGCAGCAAAGAGCCUUCUUUUGCAAUUAAGCACCAUCAAGGAGCUGUUUCCUUCGAUCCAUAAAAAUAUUAAUUUUCUAAUUAUUCUUAUGAAGUUUUUACAAGAGUUUUCCAUAGUCUUACACAUACACAGGUCUGAUGUUUAGCAUUGUCCAUUACCAUAGUCCAUGUGGUUUAGCAAUAAAUUUGUACAGGUGUUGUGUGUAAAUAUCACUCUCCUGGUCGACCACCUUAACAAUAGCAAUCACUUUGAUAUGCUAUCAACCAUUUGAUAAUGUUCCAUGUCUUCAUUCCAGGGGCAAACUCUUGGAGAAACAUGAUCCAACAAAAUGCAGUUAUCAUCUGUGCUUCACUUACACCAGUAAAUGCACUCACACAAGCUGAGGCAAAGUGCCUAGCAUCAAUUGAAAAGUUGGUACAUAUAACUACCAGCAGCAUGUCAUAUUAAACUACAACCACUGAUAGAACUGCAAUGGUAGCAUUAUAAGCACAGUGCCAAGUCAAUAAUUCUAUAAGACCAACUUCUAUCAUUGUUGAAGCUGUCACAUCAAAGUUAGCAACAUCUGCAGUUACUGCCACAGAAUUAGGACACUCCCCCUUCCCAUUCUCUUUUCAAUUCUCUCUCUAUUGCAUGCUAUUUGCACCACUCCACCUGAUUCAAAUCAGUCCAGUCCAACUUCAUGUAAGUGAUCCUCUAACGAU
RNAcentral lists this unclassified non-coding RNA (1289 nucleotides) under Hevea brasiliensis (rubber tree). The record is from RNAcentral. Lineage: Eukaryota; Viridiplantae; Streptophyta; Magnoliopsida; Malpighiales; Euphorbiaceae.